This is a small nuclear RNA of Zalophus californianus (California sea lion), 109 nucleotides long. Lineage: Eukaryota; Metazoa; Chordata; Mammalia; Carnivora; Otariidae. The record is from Ensembl.
GUGCUUGCUUCUACAGCACAUAUACUAAAAAAUUGGAAUGAUACAGGGAAGAUUAGCAUGGCCCCUGUGCAUGGAAGAUAUACAAAUUCGUGAAGUGUUCCAUAUUUUA